GGGGAAUUUAUUCGUUGUGACUUGCUGCUACUGCAGUCGAGCGAGCUUGCCUAGAUGAUUUUAGUGCUUGCACUAAAUGAAACUAGAUACAAGCGAGCGGCGGACGGGUGAGUAACACGUGGGUAACCUGCCCAAGAGACUGGGAUAACACCUGGAAACAGAUGCUAAUACCGGAUAACAACACUAGACGCAUGUCUAGAGUUUGAAAGAUGGUUCUGCUAUCACUCUUGGAUGGACCUGCGGUGCAUUAGCUAGUUGGUAAGGUAACGGCUUACCAAGGCAAUGAUGCAUAGCCGAGUUGAGAGACUGAUCGGCCACAUUGGGACUGAGACACGGCCCAAACUCCUACGGGAGGCAGCAGUAGGGAAUCUUCCACAAUGGACGAAAGUCUGAUGGAGCAACGCCGCGUGAGUGAAGAAGGGUUUCGGCUCGUAAAGCUCUGUUGGUAGUGAAGAAAGAUAGAGGUAGUAACUGGCCUUUAUUUGACGGUAAUUACUUAGAAAGUCACGGCUAACUACGUGCCAGCAGCCGCGGUAAUACGUAGGUGGCAAGCGUUGUCCGGAUUUAUUGGGCGUAAAGCGAGUGCAGGCGGUUCAAUAAGUCUGAUGUGAAAGCCUUCGGCUCAACCGGAGAAUUGCAUCAGAAACUGUUGAACUUGAGUGCAGAAGAGGAGAGUGGAACUCCAUGUGUAGCGGUGGAAUGCGUAGAUAUAUGGAAGAACACCAGUGGCGAAGGCGGCUCUCUGGUCUG
This 750-nucleotide ribosomal RNA is filed under the name uncultured bacterium. RNAcentral's name for it is "bacterial SSU rRNA". It matches the Rfam family "Bacterial small subunit ribosomal RNA", at positions 24 to 736 of the family's 1533-position model. The record is from RNAcentral.